GACGAACGCUGGCGGCGUGCCUAACACAUGCAAGUCGAGCGGAGAUUAUGGAAGAGCUUGCUCGGAAAUAAUCUUAGCGGCGGACGGGUGAGUAACGCGUGAGCAACCUGCCUUUCACAGGGGGAUAACGCAGCGAAAGUUGUGCUAAUACCGCAUGAGACCACAGAGGGACAUCCCUUAGGGGUCAAAGGAGCAAUCCGGUGAAAGAUGGGCUCGCGUCUGAUUAGCUAGUUGGUGAGGUAACGGCCCACCAAGGCGACGAUCAGUAGCCGACCUGAGAGGGUGAUCGGCCACAUUGGAACUGAGAGACGGUCCAAACUCCUACGGGAGGCAGCAGUGGGGAAUAUUGGGCAAUGGGGGAAACCCUGACCCAGCAACGCCGCGUGAAGGAAGAAGGUUUUCGGAUUGUAAACUUCUUUUAGUAGGGACGAAUACGUGACGGUACCUACNGAAAAAGCAAACGGCUAACUACGUG
This 475-nucleotide ribosomal RNA is filed under the name uncultured bacterium. Its description in RNAcentral is "bacterial SSU rRNA". It matches the Rfam family "Bacterial small subunit ribosomal RNA", at positions 28 to 507 of the family's 1533-position model. The record is from RNAcentral.